GACGAACGCUGGCGGCGUGCUUAACACAUGCAAGUCACGGGGGGUCGCAAGACCAACCGGCGAACGGGUGCGUAACACGUGAGCAACCUGCCGAUCUGCGGGGGAUAGCCGGCCCAACGGCCGGGUAAUACCGCAUACGGUCUUGUGGGGGAGUCCCCAGAAGAAGAAACCUCCGGGGGAACCUGUGGGGCAGAUCGAGGGGCUCGCGGCCUAUCAGCUUGUUGGCGGGGUAACGCCCA
This 239-nucleotide ribosomal RNA is filed under the name uncultured bacterium. RNAcentral describes it as "partial 16S ribosomal RNA". It matches the Rfam family "Bacterial small subunit ribosomal RNA", at positions 28 to 267 of the family's 1533-position model. The record is from RNAcentral.